RNAcentral lists this long non-coding RNA (470 nucleotides) under Podarcis muralis (Common wall lizard). Its description in RNAcentral is "lncRNA (ENSPMRG00000004599.1)". Lineage: Eukaryota; Metazoa; Chordata; Lepidosauria; Squamata; Lacertidae. The record is from RNAcentral.
AGGGAGAAGGGGACAAGGGAGACUUGGAGGAGGCAGUGUCUAACCCCUUCCCUUUCUCUCUCCAGUUUUAUGAGACCCCACUUCAGUCCCUCUAUGGUGAGUGCGAUCCUCCAUAGAACAACAGAGGCAGUUCUGGGGAGCGCAGAGGAAGACAAAGAGGUAUGUCCUCUGCUUUAAGUUCUUUUUGCACAGCUCUUUCUUCUUCCCACACUCUUACAAAAUUUAACCCAGCAGCACUCAACCUCUCUUCUCUCUUUUCCCACAGGAACUGAAGAGGCCAUUCCAGAGCCUGCUGGGUGGUCUCCUCCUAGAAGCCCCCAAUACUGGCACCCUUCUCCAGUUGCUUACCGACCUCCGAUAUUACGCCCUUUUGGGGAGUGAAGACCAAAGGAAAUUAGCGGCCAGCAGUAUAUCCCUGCUGCUGGCCCUUUCACGAAGAUUCCCGAACCUCAGAAACACAGUAAUUCGGC